This 87-nucleotide transfer RNA is filed under the name Candidatus Nomurabacteria bacterium. RNAcentral's name for it is "tRNA-Leu". It matches the Rfam family "tRNA". Rfam says of the family: Transfer RNA (tRNA) molecules are approximately 80 nucleotides in length. Their secondary structure includes four short double-helical elements and three loops (D, anti-codon, and T loops). Further hydrogen bonds mediate the characteristic L-shaped molecular structure. tRNAs have two regions of fundamental functional importance: the anti-codon, which is responsible for specific mRNA codon recognition, and the 3' end, to which the tRNAs corresponding amino acid is attached (by aminoacyl-tRNA synthetases). tRNAs cope with the degeneracy of the genetic code in two manners: having more than one tRNA (with a specific anti-codon) for a particular amino acid; and 'wobble' base-pairing, i.e. permitting non-standard base-pairing at the 3rd anti-codon position. The record is from RNAcentral. Lineage: Bacteria; Candidatus Nomuraibacteriota.
GCCCGCGUGGCGGAAUUGGCAGACGCGCUAGCUUCAGGUGCUAGUGUCUUUACGGAUGUGCUGGUUCGACUCCAGUCGCGGGCACCA